Molecule: ribosomal RNA, 337 nt
Filed under: uncultured Buchnera sp.
Lineage: Bacteria; Pseudomonadati; Pseudomonadota; Gammaproteobacteria; Enterobacterales; Erwiniaceae
Description: bacterial SSU rRNA
Rfam family: Bacterial small subunit ribosomal RNA
Source: RNAcentral
GAGUAAUAUCUGGGAAUCUACCCAAAAGAGGGGGAUAACUACUAGAAAUGGUAGCUAAUACCGCAUAAAGUUGAGAAACCAAAGUGGGGGGCCUUUUAGGCCUCAUGCUUUUGGAUGAGCCCAGACGAGAUUAGCUUGUUGGUAAGGUAAAAGCUUACCAAGGCUUCGAUCUCUAGCUGGUCUGAGAGGAUAACCAGCCACACUGGAACUGAGACACGGUCCAGACUCCUACGGGAGGCAGCAGUGGGGAAUAUUGCACAAUGGGCGAAAGCCUGAUGCAGCUAUGCCGCGUGUAUGAAGAAGGCCUUAGGGUUGUAAAGUACUUUCAGCGGGGAGG